This 415-nucleotide ribosomal RNA is filed under the name Acanthamoeba sp. AcHu/4/2004/T4. Its description in RNAcentral is "SSU rRNA". The stretch from base 1 to 372 matches the Rfam family "Eukaryotic small subunit ribosomal RNA", at positions 762 to 1114 of the family's 1831-position model. Lineage: Eukaryota; Discosea; Longamoebia; Acanthamoebidae. The record is from RNAcentral.
AAAAUUAGAGUGUUCAAAGCAGGCAGAUUCAAUUUUCUGCCACCGAAUACAUUAGCAUGGGAUAAUGGAAUAGGACCCUGUCCUCCUAUUUUCAGUUGGUUUUGGCAGCGCGAGGACUAGGGUAAUGAUUAAUAGGGAUAGUUGGGGGCAUUAAUAUUUAAUUGUCAGAGGUGAAAUUCUUGGAUUUAUGAAAGAUUAACUUCUGCGAAAGCAUCUGCCAAGGAUGUUUUCAUUAAUCAAGAACGAAAGUUAGGGGAUCGAAGACGAUCAGAUACCGUCGUAGUCUUAACCAUAAACGAUGCCGACCAGCGAUUAGGAGACGUUGAAUACAAAACACCACCAUCGGCGCGGUCGCCCUUGGCGUUCGUGUUCACGCACGGGCGCGAGGGCGGCUUAGCCCGAUGGCACCGGUGAA